GUGAGCAUGUGAUGCAAUGCAACAUUUCUCCAAAUAGGUCCAAAUAAAGAAAUAAACUCUAAUCUACAUGCAGCACUUUAUUUAUUUAUUUUUAUUUUUUAGUUGAAGUAUUUCUUUAAAGGGGGGUACAAUGGUAUUUCGUUUAUUCAGAGUUGUUCACAGUGUUAAAGAGAUGGAUUCUCAUGCUAAACAUGGCCAAAGUUUUAAAAAAUAAUGUAGAAGAAUGCCAAAAAUCUUACUUCCGUUGUCGGCUGUUUUUUUAUUUUUUUUUUAUUUUUAUUUUUUCUUCCGGUGUCGGCUGUUUUUUUUUUUUCAAUCGUGUAUCUAAUGACGUAGACUAGAACGGAAGUCCUUACAUGAGCAUUUCUGUCGGAAAAGCGCGCCCGCGCACACGUUGGACAGGGGAGAGCGAGACCACGCACAUCAACGCGCUUCAAAAUCGUCGGCAGCGCUGCGUAGGAUUUGUUCGAGAAUGCCUCCAAAUAAGUGCGUUUUUGGAUGUGAGGGAAAGUUUACUGUGUACAGCUCCCCAAAGAACCCAGCGUUACAUGAACAGUGGAUGCAGUUUUUAGUUUUUUUCUGGGAAGCAAUGGAGUGUAUCAAGUGCAUUUGUGUGUUCUGGUCACGAAAGUUUUAUAAACAAGGCCCAAGUCGACGCUGUAUUUGCACAUCGUUUGCUAUUAAACAUGGAGCUGACCCUGUGACAAAAGACCCCAUUCAUGCAAGCCUUAACAUGAAACCCGCAGGGCAAGCGGAAAAGAGGCAGGCCAAGAAACACAUGGCGUCGAGAACUGGAGGCAGAUAUAAAGAACAUGAAUAUUACCUGGAACCAACUAGAGAAGAGACCCCAGGACAGAGACUCUUGGAGAUCCCUAAUUGGCGGCCUAUGCCCCAAAAGAGAUGUCAUUAA
RNAcentral lists this long non-coding RNA (910 nucleotides) under Carassius auratus (goldfish). Its description in RNAcentral is "lncRNA (ENSCARG00000060572.1)". The record is from RNAcentral. Lineage: Eukaryota; Metazoa; Chordata; Actinopteri; Cypriniformes; Cyprinidae.